CUACGGGCGGCUCCAGUCGAGGAACUUUUACAAUGCUCGCAAGAGUGAUAAAAUAAACCAGAGUGUUUCUCCUAGAGAAACUUUUGUCUGCUGUAAAAAUGCAGAUGAAUAAGGACUGGGCAAGACCGGUGCCAGCCGCCGCGGUAAUACCGGCGGUCCAAGUCGCAUCCACAUUUAUUGGGUCUAAAACAUUCGUAGCUUGUUUUACAAGUCCCUUGUGAAAUCUGACAUCUCAAGUGUCAGGCGCGCAAGAGAUACUGUAUUACUAGAGACCGGAAGAUGCAAAGAGUAUGAUUGAGGUAGCGGUAAAAUGUGUUAAUCUCGAUUAGACUAACAAUGGCGAAGGCACUUUGCAAGUACGGAUCUGACAGUGAGGAAUGAAGGCUAGGGGCGCAAAAGGGAUUAGAUACCCCGGUAGUC
RNAcentral lists this ribosomal RNA (420 nucleotides) under uncultured archaeon. RNAcentral describes it as "partial 16S ribosomal RNA". It matches the Rfam family "Archaeal small subunit ribosomal RNA", at positions 323 to 746 of the family's 1478-position model. The record is from RNAcentral.